This 468-nucleotide ribosomal RNA is filed under the name Escherichia coli. Its description in RNAcentral is "bacterial SSU rRNA". It matches the Rfam family "Bacterial small subunit ribosomal RNA", at positions 30 to 486 of the family's 1533-position model. The record is from RNAcentral. Lineage: Bacteria; Pseudomonadati; Pseudomonadota; Gammaproteobacteria; Enterobacterales; Enterobacteriaceae.
AUUGAACGCUGGCGGCAGGCCUAACACAUGCAAGUCGAACGGUAACAGGAAGAAGCUCGCUUCUUUGCUGACGAGUGGCGGACGGGUGAGUAAUGUCUGGGAAACUGCCUGAUGGAGGGGGAUAACGACUGGAAACGGUAGCUAAUACCGCAUAACGUCGCAAGACCAAAGAGGGGGACCUUCGGGCCUCUUGCCAUCGGAUGUGCCCAGAUGGGAUUAGCUAGUAGGUGGGGUAACGGCUCACCUAGGCGACGAUCCCUAGCUGGUCUGAGAGGAUGACCAGCCACACUGGAACUGAGACACGGUCCAGACUCCUACGGGAGGCAGCAGUGGGGAAUAUUGCACAAUGGGCGCAAGCCUGAUGCAGCCAUGCCGCGUGUAUGAAGAAGGCCUUCGGGUUGUAAAGUACUUUCAGCGGGGAGGAAGGGAGUAAAGUUAAUACCUUUGCUCAUUGACGUACCCGCAGAA